AUGGACAACAAUGUCACAGUCACAAGUGCCAUGUUCCCAAGUCUUGGAACACAGGUAAAGGAGGUUCUGCCUGGCUGGCUGGAGAAUCUGAGGAGGAAAUGGCAACUGGAAGCAAGGAAGCCAUGGCAAGCAAGGUCACCAGGGCUGAGGAGGUGGAGGGCCCUGCUUCUGCCUCUGUUUCUCAUCUUCUUCUUCUCAGGCACGACGAGGCGCACGGAGUCGGCCCGGGAGUUCACGCUCAUCAACCAGUGCAAGACGGAGGUGUGGCCGGCGGUGACGCCGGGCGAGAGCUUCGGGGGCGGCGGGUACGCGCUCCGCGCCGGCGAGUCGGUGGUGUUCACCGCCCCCGUGGGGUGGUCGGGCCGCGUGUGGGGCCGCACCGGCUGCGACUUCAACUCGGCUGGCAACGGCACAUGCGAGACGGGCGGGUGCGGGACGUCGCUGCAGUGCGAAUCGGCGUCGGGGGCCGCUCCGGCAACGCUGGCGGAGUUCACGCUGGCGGCGACUGACUACUACGACGUGAGCCUGGUGGACGGCUUCAACCUCCCAGUGGUGGUGACCCCGACCCCGACGAGCGCGAACUGGACGGGCUGUGCGCCGGCAGGGUGCGACGGCGACCUGCGCCAUGGCUGUCCGUCGGAGCUGGCCGUGAAGGGCGACGGGGGGAAGGUGGUGGCAUGCCGGAGCGCGUGCGACGUGUUCGGGACCGACCAGUACUGCUGCCGCGGGCAGUACGCCAACCCGGUGGCCUGCCAGCCGACCUUCUACUCCAAGAAGUUCAAGGCGGCAUGCCCGGCCGCCUACAGCUACGCCUACGACGACCCCUCCUCCAUCUUCACCUGCGCCCAGUCGCCUGACUACACCAUCACCUUCUGCUCCAGCAACAUGAAGCAAUCGGUGUGCUCCUAUCGCGACAGCCGGCUCGUCUGCAGCGGCUCCGGCAGGAGCACCGCCUCUCCACUAAUGCUUGUGAUGCUGCUGCUCCUCUGCAGCUUCCUGGUACUGCGAUUUGCAUCCCCAGUGUGA
RNAcentral lists this ribosomal RNA (1026 nucleotides) under Triticum aestivum (bread wheat). RNAcentral's name for it is "partial small subunit ribosomal RNA". Lineage: Eukaryota; Viridiplantae; Streptophyta; Magnoliopsida; Poales; Poaceae. The record is from RNAcentral.